UGGUUUACAGGCAUGAACUAUUAUACAAAUAAUGAAUGUUUAUGAGUGCAAUGGUAAGAAUAUUUUCAUGAGGUGAAAGAUGGAAUGUUCCAUUCAACGAGGCGACAGCCGAGUUGAAUGGAACAUUUCAUCUUUCACCGAAUGAAAAUAUUCUUGCCAUUGCACGAAAAAAAUUCAUUAUUUGUUUUAUAUAAUACCAAAAUAGACUAAUAGAUUCGUAUGCGAGAAGCAUUUGUGAGGGAUGCGAUUUAUCGAAAACACAAAGAGUGCAAUUGUACUAUACGUUUUAUUCCAUUGCACUCGCAGAGAGUGCAAUGGAACGUAUUCCAUUGCACUCUUGGGAAAUGGAAUUUUCUAUUCAAUAUCACGUGACCAUAAACAGCCAAUUAAACGAUCAGAAUUCAAUAAGGUAUUAUAUAAUAUAAACUAUAGCCGUUGAGAACGACCAUAUGGAAACCAGGCUUAACUAGGAAACAAAGGCAAAAUCUCACUAAUCAUUAUAUGAAUCAUUAUUACAUUAAUCGCUUUUGAGUAAAAAUCUCGUCAUGGUCAUUAAACAUGCAUGUGACCAAACCAUCACCAUUCGCAAAUGUUAUAUAGAUUUAAUUUUAUACAUAAAAUCAAAA
Paramuricea clavata is the source of this 626-nucleotide non-coding RNA. The record is from the annotation of a GenBank genome assembly. NCBI's taxonomy places the organism in Eukaryota, Metazoa, Cnidaria, Anthozoa, Malacalcyonacea, Plexauridae.